This is a long non-coding RNA of Atta colombica, 108 nucleotides long. RefSeq lists it as uncharacterized. Lineage: Eukaryota; Metazoa; Arthropoda; Insecta; Hymenoptera; Formicidae. The record is from RefSeq and is a predicted model, not a curated record. The transcript has 3 exons.
AUAGAAAUUUUAAAUUUCUAUAAUAUGUUUUCAAAACAUAAACUUAUUCAAGAUCAUUAAUUAUUAAUUGAAAUAUAAUAAAGUUAUGUUCUAUUAAAAAUAAAAUUU